RNAcentral lists this small RNA (758 nucleotides) under Homo sapiens (human). Its description in RNAcentral is "HLA complex group 25 (ENSG00000238064.5)". Lineage: Eukaryota; Metazoa; Chordata; Mammalia; Primates; Hominidae. The record is from RNAcentral.
AGGAGAGCCCGGAGCCGGAUCCACUCUCAGCCUCAGGAAGCAGCAGCCUCCGCUCCGCGGCGGGUGUGCUCGGCAGUCACAGACCCACUCAGGACACCUCCCGUUGCCGACGGGCUAGACCUGCCUUAAAGGGGUCCCCGUGUCUCUCCAGUCUAGAGCCUAAGUUCAAACGAGGCGUAUAGGCGAGGACAGCAGGAAGGCUCCAAGUCAAACAAACGGAUGGGAAGUGGUCUUGGGAAACCUGAAGACACUGGGAUAUUCAGAAGGCCAAGGGGAUCCAGCUUAUCCUGUUGGGCAAGGUGCUGGGAGUGAAGGCAGGUCACCUGAAUGAUACUGGUGCCAUUUCUGAAGUUGGUGAAACUCCGCAUUACAUCCUGACUCAGAGAUUCCACUGAUGAUUUCCAGGAACUACCAAAGCCACGGAUCAGCUGAGUUACCCGGGCUAAUAGCAGGAGGAAACAGUGUCAGAGAGGGAUCUGGCUGAUCUUCAACUCCACUAAGUUCUCCCCAAGGGUCUUGCUCCAUCACCCACGCUGGAGUGCAGUGGCACAAUCACAGCUCACUACAACCUCAACUUUCCUGGCUCAGUGAUUAUCCCACCUCAGCCUCCUGAGUAGCUGGGACUAACAGGCAUGUGCCAACAUGUCCCACUCAUUUUUUUUUUAUUUUUUGUAGAGAUGGGUUUCACCAUGUUGUCCAGGCUGGUCUCAAACUCCUGGGCUCAAGCGAUCCUCCCUGCCUUGGCCUGUGCUGGGAUU